RNAcentral lists this unclassified non-coding RNA (253 nucleotides) under uncultured Gammaproteobacteria bacterium. RNAcentral describes it as "contains 16S-23S intergenic spacer region". It matches the Rfam family "Bacterial small subunit ribosomal RNA", at positions 524 to 776 of the family's 1533-position model. The record is from RNAcentral. Lineage: Bacteria; Pseudomonadati; Pseudomonadota; Gammaproteobacteria.
UACAGAGGGUGCGAGCGUUAAUCCGAAUUACUGGGCGUAAAGCGUGCGCAGGCGGUUAGACAAGACAGGCGUGAAAUCCCCGGGCUUAACCUGGGAAUGGAGUCUGUGACUGUAUAGCUAGAGUGUGUCAGAGGGGGGUGGAAUUCCACGUGUAGCAGUGAAAUGCGUAGAUAUCGGGAGGAACAUCAGUGGCGAAGGCGGUUUUCUGGGACAUUACUGACGUUGAGAAGCGACAGCUAGGGGAGCAAACAGG